Molecule: long non-coding RNA, 1557 nt
Organism: Ursus maritimus (polar bear)
Lineage: Eukaryota; Metazoa; Chordata; Mammalia; Carnivora; Ursidae
Source: Ensembl
AGUAGUGCAAUUGCUGGGUUGUAGGGUAGUUCUAUUUUUAACUUUUUGACUGUUCUCAGCGUGGUUGCACCAGCUUGUGUUCCCACUGACAGUGUAAGAGGGUUCCCCUUUCUCCACAUCGAGGAUAUCUCUUUAUGCCCCAAAUAGAUAGAAACGCCUAGUAGAGAGCUUUAGAAAUCACCUCAGCCCUUCCUGGCCAAGGUCAUAGCCUGUUGGGAUAGACUCCAUUCCCAGGAGUCAUUUCUGGUUUUGGGGUGUCCUUCUGCCAAGGCUGGCUGUGCCUGAACGGAGCACAUGAAGCCAGCAGACAUUACGUCAACUUCGCGUGUUCCUCAGCAGAGCUUGCUGUGCACAAACCCAAGCCAGAGUUCCUUUGUUGAAAGUGACCUUCCUAGAGCCUGAACUGUCAACUGUACCUUCAUACCAGAGACUUUGCAGUAGAAGCUGCUGGGAGGGCUGGGAGACGGAGGGAGAAGGAAACCCCACCAAAUCCAGAAGGGGUUACAACAUGCCUGGACACUCUAGGAAGAACCAGAAUAAAAGCAGGAGUUGAAAGCGAAGCAUUUACCAACAAGAAGUAACCCAAGUGAAAUGCCCCUCAUGGUUCUCCGGGUUCUCCGGCCUUCAGACUCAGACCAGAACGGGACCACUGGUUUUCGUGGGACUCCAGCUAAAAUCAGGAAUCCACCCCUGGAAUCGCAGAUCGUGUGACAGCAAAGGCCAGCAAAGGCCAGCAAACGCCCAUGAUUGGAGCUGUGGAGGCGCUGGCAGGUGCUGUGGGCACUCCUGCCCCUGCAUUCUCUGGCACUUUCUCCUAGAAGUGCACAAGACGUGGGUGAUGUUUACCGUUCAUAGAGUCCUUCAGGUAAGGGAUGGUGAUUUCUUUUUGUAUCUAACCAUCGAGAGACGAGAGACGGCAUUCCAAGGGACAGCAUUGUGAACGAGCAGCAUUGGCCUUCCUUGAUUGAAAUGCAGUGACUGUAAACCCAGAUGCUUCAGGGACCAAGCUAGCGAUGAAAUGAGCAACGAGGAUUAUGCAAAAUAAUACCGAGUGAGGAGAACUGUAGAAAACCCCAGCACGUUGCCCCAUCUAGAGAGAGCAGCAGAGACUCGGCUCGGGUAAGUGUUGCCAUAAUGAAUCUUGGCCCAGUAGUACCAGUUUCCAGUUUUGAGAGGCUAAAGAUGUCUAUGGUCCACACGAUCAUCUGAUUUUUUUAAAGGUUGGCACUUAAGUCCAUUUUUAAGAUCACGACCAGAUUCUGAAGGCUCUCGAUGUCACUUCCUGUGUGGAUUAGCUUGGACUUUUGUCCAUAGACCGUGCUCAGGGAGCCUCUGUGCUGAAGCCGGGCCGUAGCCCUGAUUCUGAGAACCUACCCUGGCAGGCCUGACGCUCGGGGCUUUCGGAGAGAGUGGGUGCUGGUCCUGUUUGCUCAGGCCGGUUACAGAUCGGUCAUCUGCGCAUUGUAGACAUAGAGCUACAGAUGCUGGGGUUUACAGGAUGGUUAUUAAGACGCCCUCAGCAAUAAAGAACACUGAGCCUGAGGGGUUCUGCGUCCU